This 3384-nucleotide unclassified non-coding RNA is filed under the name Dimorphilus gyrociliatus. Its description in RNAcentral is "sUEL-type lectin domain-containing protein". Lineage: Eukaryota; Metazoa; Annelida; Polychaeta; Dinophilidae. The record is from RNAcentral.
CUCUCUCUCUCUCUCUAUCUAUAUCUAUUGCUUCACUUUGUCGUUUGCUCUCUUUUCCUCGUUCUCGAUUACCUUUCUUUUUCAACCCUUCACGUGAAUAUACAGUAUGUUUGCAUUACUUUUCAUGUUACUACAUAUAUCUGUUUAUUUCUUCUUUUGUAUUUUCCAUGUACUUAUGUUACUUUCCUCUGUUUCUUUACUUCUUCCAUACGGUAGGCGUAUUUAACAGAGAAUCGUGCAGUACAACAGUGAAUCGUUAGUAGAACAAAAGAGGGAAAGUUGACGCUUUAUGUUCACCUUUCAAUAAUGUUUCUUUCACCGGAAAGAGGACGUUUUUUGACAUAAAAAAUGAGUUUUAAAUGCCGAAGUAUUAUUACUAAAAAAACUCGAUAUUAAGGAACGUUUUUUUUCUGUAUUUAUUUAUCUUUUUUUUUUUCUCGAACUAUCUCACUCUCCCCCUCGCCCCCUCUCUCACUCUCUUUCUCUCUCUGUCCUAAAAAGAGGGACUAUCACUCAAGAAAGGCAUACUAAAUGCUGUAUAUUUCAAAUAGGAAAAAAAAAACAACAAAGCUACGUCUACAAGUUCGGCGGUCACGUAGUUGUCGUAGCCGGCUUUUUCGCCCUACAAUGGGGAAUGACUAAAGAAAGGAAAGAAAAGCAGAUGAGAAAGAGAAACUAUUAUAAAACAAAUUGGUAAUUAAUCGGGGAAUAAAUUCUUCAAGUAGUCUAACCCAAUAGAGCAAAGAGAAGAAGGAAAAGGUUGAGGGAAGAAUUGAGGAAGUGAGUAUGGGGAAGAAGAGAGACUUCUAAUUGCGAUGGUUUGAAACGCCCAAUUAAGGAGUGCUAAGUGGGUCAAUUGUAUAACGUAAUCAAAGCGAGGCUGAGGCCAUCCUACCGCAUUAUCAAAGUGUCAAGAACAAAAUGAGGAAGCAGACGAAUAAUGCCCCAUAGACGCCGCUGCGGCGCGCUCUUCGCUCUUCUUUUAUAUCUUUCAUUUGCUGUGCAGAAUGCGGUCGACGACUAUUUAUUCGACGUUCUAUUUCAUAUAUUCUUCAAUUAUUUCAGGUACGUUUGAAAAGAAUAUAAUGUCUGUUUUUCUUUGAACGGCAGCAAACUUUGUGUGUAAUAAUCACGUUUGCGUGUCGUUCUUUUCGACGUUGAUGUAUGAGGUGGAAGAGAGGCGGAAAGAUAAUAGCGUUUUACUGGCGGAGACAUCAUUCGAAUAGUCUGUCAUGGUAAAGGUUAAGAUUAUGUAACGUUAAAUAGACGCUUUACAAUAUUAUUUGUGUACCAAUUGAAGAACGUUUAUUGACGACACUAUGAAUAUUUAAAUACGUCAUCGUGAAAAAAAAGAAACGCUAUAUUCGAUCUAAUUCGUCAAUUUUCUACUGUAAACAAAGCGAACGACGGAAUUUGGCCGACAGGCAAAUUGCAGUUUUCGUUGCAGAAAUAUACUUACAGCACUUAGCAGAGAACGUCUAUUCGACAACAUUUAGAUAUUUAGGCAUUAAUUGCAUUUCGUCGUGACGUUUCAAUCAGACGUCGUCGUACAUAUUAUACAUUGUUUGGCAAACAAUUUGCUUAGAGUAAGAAACAAACAACUGGGAAGGAACAAGAAUCGAUUAAAAUAAUAUAAUUUUCCCUUAUGACUUUAAUGCACCUUCUGUCUACUAUACAGUAUAUAUAUAUAUAUAUAUAUAUAUGUUAGUAAUAUAUCCUUGACUGUCCUAAACCAUAUAUUGUAUAUAUAUAUAUAUAAUUUGAUAUCUUUAUUUAUAUAUUUAACUCAACGAAGCAUUUGCAUUUUUUUUCUCCUUUUUUCUAUAGCCGACUUGAAAACUGAGACCGUGUGCCAAGUGAACGAAUUUAAAGCUGAUUGCCUAGAAGAUGAAACUAUAAUAAUAAAGAAAGCUCUAUGGGGGAGAAUGAAAAAAGGACAUUGCAUUGAACGUACUCUUGGAUGGGUAAAUUGCUCCAGUAAUAUAAUUGACUAUUUAGAUAAGAAAUGCUCAGGAAAGAAGAGGUGUUCCUUUCUUGUUCCAAAUGAAGACUUGGAUAACAUAGAUCCCUGCAAUUCGAUAGACUUAAAAAAUUAUCUAGAAGUGGAAUAUGUCUGCAUUAAAGAACGUAAAUUACCCUGUAGAAUCAGUCGGAGACUCUCCUCUUCUGCGCCAUCUGCCGUCCUUUUUCCAAAUACAUCAUGCUCUAGUCAAAUUCAAGCGAAAGAAGGUCAGCGAAUUAGGGUCAAAAUCUAUGGCAUUUCAGUACCUUACGAUGUAUCAUUGGAUAUUUGGGAAGCGGGACGCUCUGUUAAGAAAUUCGAAUUUCGGAAUAAUAAAGUUACAAGAUAUUCUUACGAAUCGGAAAGUAGCCGUUUGAAUAUCUCGUUGACAAACUUUCAUACUCACCGAUUUGACGAGGAGAGGAUAUUCGUUACCUAUGAUUAUAUCGGAUGUCCGCACUUAUACUUUGCCGAAAAGAAUAUCCAAGUGAAAAUAUUACACGACUCAGUAACCGCCGAAAUAACUUGCCGCGCAGAUGGCCAUAUUUAUAAGCAUACUUGCGUCGGACAUAAAUGGAUAGGACCAACAGUCAACUGCAAUCCAACAUCUCCCAAAAAUAAUGCAGAUGGCGCUAGUCAGUUAUCAAUGCCUCACGGAAUAUCGAUGGCCUUGACCGUAAUAAUAGCAUUAGCAAUUGCCUUUCUUCUGCCCGCUUUAGUUCUGCUCCUUUUACGGAGAAGAUUGGCAAAAAAGAAGAAAAAGAGUAGAAGGAUACCAACUGAAGAUAUUUAUGAUAAAUAUAAUAACGUGGCUGUUUUGGGAACAAGAAAAUGCUGCAAAUUUGAAAAUGAAAAUGAAGAUAUACCACCAGAUAUUUUGGGAGAUGGACAAACUAACUUAUCCCUUAUAAAACCUUAUAGGAACGCCAGUGCUGUUUAUUAUUCCCAAGUGCCUAAUUACGACAGGUCACUAUAUUUUACCAAUCAUAAUUAAAGCAGGUAUAUUUUUUACAAAGAAGAGAAGAUGAAAAUUACAAGAUCAAAAGUAUUUAAGCGUUUAGAAGGCUGCUAAAAGAUGGAGAGAGAGAGAGAGAGAGAGAGAGAUACUGUAUAUGUGUACAUUAUAUGUAUAAAGUAUAUAAGUACAUAUGUAUAUACUAUAUAUUUCCAUGUAGAUGUAAAUAUAAUAUACGUCAUAUGUAUGUUUUUAACAUCAUCUAUAAAUAUAUCUUACGUAUUGUGUGCAUCAGAUAUGUGCACCUCCAACUAGAUUUUCUUCUUAUUGAAACAUAUUAUAUACGUUGUAUAUUCGAGUGUUUCCUUUUCUUCUUCCCUUUUUUCUACAAAUAUAAAUCAAAAGUCUGAUCUACCUAAGUUUUUUU